GGCCUCGAAGCUCAGUUGGUUAGAGCGUUGGCUGUAUUAAUGCCUUCCCUCUGCUGGCGUGGUUAGAAUCCCACCGAGGUCA
This 82-nucleotide transfer RNA is filed under the name Schistocephalus solidus. It matches the Rfam family "tRNA". From Rfam's summary of the family: Transfer RNA (tRNA) molecules are approximately 80 nucleotides in length. The record is from Rfam by way of RNAcentral. Lineage: Eukaryota; Metazoa; Platyhelminthes; Cestoda; Diphyllobothriidea; Diphyllobothriidae.